This 428-nucleotide ribosomal RNA is filed under the name uncultured bacterium. Its description in RNAcentral is "partial 16S ribosomal RNA". It matches the Rfam family "Bacterial small subunit ribosomal RNA", at positions 354 to 796 of the family's 1533-position model. The record is from RNAcentral.
GUGGGGAAUAUUGGGCAAUGGGCGCAAGCCUGACCCAGCAACGCCACGUGAAGGAAGAAGGCUUUCGGGUUGUAAACUUCUUUUACCAGGGACGAAACAAAUGACGGUACCUGGUGAAUAAGCCACGGCUAACUACGUGCCAGCAGCCGCGGUAAUACGUAGGUGGCGAGCGUUAUCCGGAUUUAUUGGGUGUAAAGGGCGUGUAGGCGGGACAGCAAGUCAGAUGUGAAAACCAGAGGCUCAACCUCUGGCCUGCAUUUGAAACUGUUGUUCUUGAGUGUCGGAGAGGUAAUCGGAAUUCCGUGUGUGGCGGUGAAAUGCGUAGAUAUACGGAGGAACACCAGUGGCGAAGGCGGCUUUCUGGACUGUAACUGACACUGAGGCACGAAAGCGUGGGGAGCAAACAGGAUUAGAAACCCUGGUAGUCC